CAACGCCGCGUGAAGGAUGAAAGGUUUUCGGAUUGUAAACUUCUUUGAUUGGGGACGAAUAAUGACGGUACCCAAAAAACAAGCCACGGCUAACUACGUGC
Molecule: ribosomal RNA, 101 nt
Filed under: uncultured bacterium
Lineage: Bacteria
Description: partial 16S ribosomal RNA
Rfam family: Bacterial small subunit ribosomal RNA
Source: RNAcentral